GUGGGGAAUAUUGGACAAUGGGGGGAACCCUGAUCCAGCCAUGCCGCGUGUGUGAAGAAGGCCUUUUGGUUGUAAAGCACUUUAAGCGAGGAGGAGGCUACCGAGAUUAAUACUCUUGGAUAGUGGACGUUACUCGCAGAAUAAGCACCGGCUAACUCUGUGCCAGCAGCCGCGGUAAUACAGAGGGUGCAAGCGUUAAUCGGAUUUACUGGGCGUAAAGCGCGCGUAGGUGGCCAAUUAAGUCAAAUGUGAAAUCCCCGAGCUUAACUUGGGAAUUGCAUUGGAUACUGGUUGGCUAGAGUAUGGGAGAGGAUGGUAGAAUUCCAGGAGUAGCGGUGAAAUGCGUAGAGAUCUGGAGGAAUACCGAUGGCGAAGGCAGCCAUCUGGCCUAAUACUGACACUGAGGUGCGAAAGCAUGGGGAGCAAACAGGAUUAGAUACCCGAGUAGUCC
RNAcentral lists this ribosomal RNA (451 nucleotides) under uncultured bacterium. RNAcentral describes it as "partial 16S ribosomal RNA". It matches the Rfam family "Bacterial small subunit ribosomal RNA", at positions 354 to 796 of the family's 1533-position model. The record is from RNAcentral.